GCUGCUCAAGUGUGCUACCUCUCCGUGGUGAGUAGCAGGCAACGAGGGAUACCCUCGGCUAAAAGCAUAA
RNAcentral lists this ribozyme (70 nucleotides) under unclassified sequences. Its description in RNAcentral is "HDV ribozyme from F. prausnitzii". It matches the Rfam family "HDV ribozyme from F. prausnitzii". The record is from RNAcentral.